RNAcentral lists this long non-coding RNA (210 nucleotides) under Mytilus galloprovincialis (Mediterranean mussel). Lineage: Eukaryota; Metazoa; Mollusca; Bivalvia; Mytilida; Mytilidae. The record is from RNAcentral.
AGAAUAGGCAGUUUCACAAUAACUUUGAAGCCCGUCUUUGAUUGCUGAUAAAAUAGAUGUUAAUAAUUUAGAAAGAGGUUUCGUGGAGCACUUGGAAGACCCAGCAAUUUACCGUUGUUUGUAAGGACACUUAUGUAGUUUAGGUAUCCAAUACAGUGAUGGAAGAUCCAGUUCUUCAUCUUUGGUUGAAAUUCCAAAGGAACACAGAAC